Molecule: long non-coding RNA, 844 nt
Organism: Hevea brasiliensis (rubber tree)
Lineage: Eukaryota; Viridiplantae; Streptophyta; Magnoliopsida; Malpighiales; Euphorbiaceae
Exons: 2
Source: RefSeq, a predicted model, not a curated record
UCGACCACUCAAUUUGGCUCACUCACCACUAUCUUUCUCUUUUCUCUCUAGCUCCUGAGGGUUUCAUCCUUUUGAAUCUACUGUCUUAGGUGGCUCGCUCCUAACCCUCCGAAUAAGGGAAGGUCGCCCUCCUUGCCGAUUGUGGGUUAUCCCUUAUCACAUCCAGUUAGGUGUAUAUAUUUGUUUUGGAUUUAUUGGUUGUUUAUAAGCAGUGCUUAGUGUGAGUGUUUAGUUUUGGCCUGUUUUAGUUCUUAUGUUUUUCUUUUAUUCUUUCUGAAAUGAGGAGCAUGAAGGCAGCUAUAGUGUUUAUUGAGUGAUUUUUUGUAGGAUCUGCCCAUUUUUGUGGUUGCAUGCAAGUGAGUUGCCACAGUUGUGGUCUUCCUUUGGGUCAUUAACUCAAUAACCUCUAUGUCAACCAUACUAGUAGUGGGUUUGGAAGUUAGGCAUCGGUGUUUCCCUUAGUUUGUGAUGGUGUGAGGAGGCAAUUCAUUGAUAAGAAGGCAUCUCGCUAGGCUUUGAGUGGCCUGAUAGGCAUAAGCCUCUUCCUUCCUUCACCAAAACGAUGCUCUGAUGGUGCUGCUUUCCCUCGGCCUAGGUUGUGCAAAAUCCUCUACUUUUCCACCAUGGCUGGGUCUAGAAGUCUUCUCAGGUGACCGAUAAUGGGUGCUAGUUUGCAGCGAUCUGGAAGCUGUGGUUCCUUGACCGGAUUAAGGUAUCCAAGUCUUAAACCCAUUAUAGAUUAGGGUUUUCUUUGUAUUGGGCCCAACCUUAAUGAGCUUAGUUUGUUGAUACGUGUUUUUGGACUCUAUUGUAAUUGGGCCCUAAUCCUUUUUAAAUCAGUGAA